GCUUGGUGGUUAUAGCAUGAGUGAAACACACGA
Molecule: ribosomal RNA, 33 nt
Filed under: Rickettsia sp.
Lineage: Bacteria; Pseudomonadati; Pseudomonadota; Alphaproteobacteria; Rickettsiales; Rickettsiaceae
Source: RNAcentral